AAAAAGAAUGCCUCAAGCAGCAGAAUCAAUGAAUUAAAAUAAAUAAAUCUGCAACUACGGUCAGCUCAUAAGCGCGAUGUUCAAUUUGCAAUGAAGAGAACUCGAACAUUCAACUAUGCAUGAUAAAGCUGUGCAAUGAAGAGCCAUCAAAGAAAAACUUAUUCUAUCUCCCUCAAGCUCAUAAUAGGGAUAGUGAAGACAUGUUGUCUCUCCAGCUGGAGGAUUUCUUACUUGAUGACGGGGUUAAGAAGCUAAGCCCAAACAUCUCCUUAGGGGCAUAGCGUGGCUCUACAUAUCCAGCCAACUUGGCAACAAGCACAGAACUCUCAAUCAUAUGUUUCAAGUCUUUUGUGUCUGUCCAUAAACAGCGUGUCAACUGUAAGCUCCUCUGCUUUGUCUCUAAGUCAAUCCCCCACCUGAGGUAAAGUUCCUCUCUCUCCCUUUUCGUGAACUUUUUCUGUAAUUGCCUUGCUAAAAAAUCCCUUUCUCGAUUUAGAGCCUUCAAACUUGAGGAUGGUGAGACGAUUUGAGUAUUUAUCAUCUUGUUAGUUCCACGGGCAGACAUGUCCUUCAGAAAGUACAAUCUUCUAAGCUCAACCUCCAUGUACACAUUGUCUGAAGGAUCACCUCUAAAGAGCAAAAAGAAAUAGCUUCUGUGGACCAAUGGUACAUUGCAUCUAACCCAUAGUUCAAUUAUUUUUCUCCGGUAUCUUUGGAAUUUUUGGGGCCAAUUAUGACGCUGCCAAGCACCAUUGCCUCUGUUCAUUGAGUCAUCAAUCCUAGUUGAUGCUUCCGCAACCGGAACAUCACUAAAUAUCUCUGACUGAGCUAUAGCCAAUUUGUUCACUCCUGCAACACAAUCAAGGACAGUCGUAGUAUCAUUUACAUCUACAUCUAUCUCUUUGAUGCUCUCUUCUUCAGUAGAAACAUUAAUGGAAUUUUGAGAAUCUUUCCUGGACAUAUUUCUAGUUUCGGCAUCAUACUCUAAUUCAGGAAACUUUUGCUCAAUGUCUACUGGUCUUCCGAGGGAAUCCUCGGUAUGAGGUGUGUUCGCAUUCUCUUCUUCCUUUUCAUACCAAACAUCAGAUGGAAUAGUCAUAAGAACCGUUCUCCUACUUUUGCUUCUAGUCCAUGUCAAGCCUUUAGGACUAGACGCACCUGCUUCAAUGGAAGAAGAUUGUUCUAAACGGCUGAUAGUCUCAUACAAUUCAUGAAUUUUUCGCUUCAGAGCAUCAUGAGAGUUAUAUGAAUUAUCAUGGUUCAACUCUUUAUCUUCUUCCUGCGUUGAUGGUGCUGCACCUUCAUUCCUCACUGCUGUUGUGGCUAACUUUUCGUCUUGUUCUUCAGAACCAACUAACGAUACAUCACCUUCUGUUUUCCUGUUCAUACUUUCUUCCCCUGUUUCGAUGCAUUGAACUUCCUUGCAGAUAUCUUCAGCUUCUUCGUGAUUUCGUCGAGUAUUCUCCCAACCAUUAAAUGGUUCAGGCCCAAAAAACUUUGGAGUGCUAUUAUCCAGCAGAAAAUUUUCUUCAGGAUCUGGAAUCGGUAGGAUUUUCCUGGUAGGAGUAAGCACACUGGCCUCAUCAAAAUCCAUGUUGCUUUUUGAAAGACCCACAGGAUUGAUCACUUCUGAGGACUCUGAUGCUGAAUUUUCGUCUAAUCUUCGAUCUUCACCAGUUGAUCUUAGCAAACUCUCAACUUGAGAUUCAGCAAGAUCUCGUUGCCAAGUUAAUUCUUUGAUCUCUUUGUCCAUCUGUUCAAUCAGAAGUUCCUUUUCUCUAAGUAAUGCAUCAGUAUCACCUGACAAAGAAAUUGAUCCCAUGCUCUUUAACCGACCCUCCAGCCUAGCUAGUUCUUUUUGCAAUUGCUUUACCAAUGCCUUAUCUGACAUCACUACGUUGACCUGUGCAUUAGUAACCACCUCUUUAGCACAACUUGCAAACCAGAGGGUGUUUCUUGACUGCUCGACAUGACUGCGUGCAGGGCUUAUAGUGCAGAUCAUGGCAGUUCUGGCAUUGCCUCCUAAGGAAUUAUGCAGUAUGCGUGUUAGCUUAGAGUCUCUGUAAGGUAUGUGUCCAUUUCUUCCCUUGCUCAAUUUGCGAAUUACAGUUCCCAGGGUCAGUAAACUGCGAUUUAUGUGGGAACCUUCCUUUAAUCUUGCACCAGCUGCCAAUGUCUGAGAAGCACGCUCGCUCCCCGCAAGAUCAACAAAAUUCACUGUAGCUGUGAGAGUGCUUGAACUUCCAGCACCUGAAUAUUCACGACCAGAGCUUUCUACUGUCAGUCUUAUAAUUUGAUGAGAUCUGGAGCUGUUCUCAUUCAGAGAGGUCUCUCCUAUUUGCCUUUGAGCUUCACAUAUAGAAAGGAGCUCCUGUAGGUGGUUCCAAUCUAUUAGAGUCUCCUCUAUAAGCUUCUCGACUACCGUACCUUUCUCUGGAUCAUCUAGGACUCGAAGCGGAGUGCUAUCUGUGCCAAGGAGAUCUCUGACGGCUUCAUUGUAAAUCUCCAUGGCCGAGAAUUUCAAUACGAAUUCUCUUUCUUUGUGCUGGUUCAUGUAUUCAAAUAUAUCUGCCACUGCAUAUUCAGUAAUUCCACUCAUAGUAUAGGUCUUCCCACUGCUUGUUUGCCCAUAUGCAAAAAUACUAGAGUUAAUGCCACUAACUGCUGCAAGAGCAAUUUCUUUGGCUCCUUCCUCGUAUACCUGCUUUGUGUUGCUUUCACUCCCAAA
This 2728-nucleotide unclassified non-coding RNA is filed under the name Hevea brasiliensis (rubber tree). Lineage: Eukaryota; Viridiplantae; Streptophyta; Magnoliopsida; Malpighiales; Euphorbiaceae. The record is from RNAcentral.